Molecule: ribosomal RNA, 253 nt
Filed under: uncultured bacterium
Lineage: Bacteria
Description: partial 16S ribosomal RNA
Rfam family: Bacterial small subunit ribosomal RNA
Source: RNAcentral
GACGUAGGGCGCGAGCGUUGUCCGGAUUUAUUGGGCGUAAAGAGCUCGUAGGCGGCUUGUUGCGUCGGCUGUGAAAACCCAUGGCUCAACCGUGGGCUUGCAGCCGAUACGGGCAGGCUAGAGUUCGGUAGGGGAGACUGGAAUUCCUGGUGUAGCGGUGAAAUGCGCAGAUAUCAGGAGGAACACCGGUGGCGAAGGCGGGUCUCUGGGCAGUAACUGACGCUGAGGAGCGAAAGCGUGGGGAGCGAACAGG